UCAGAUAUAUCAAUUUUCUCUCACAAAAACCUUUUUCAAAUAUAUCUAUUCUCUAUCACACACAAAAUGCUAUGCUCAAAUUCCAUCGAAUCCAUCAAAUUUCGUUGAAUUUCAUUGCCCAAAAUACUCAAAUUUCAUCUCACAGUAGCUCAGUUCGCAAUGGAUUAGAAGAAAUAUGAAGUAUAUAUAUACACACACAAAGAAAUGAAGGAUUUAGGGUUUAAGAUUUGACCCUUUUGUUGUUACUUCUUCAAAUUCUCUUUACCUAUCAUUAUUAUAUAUGUCUUGCAUUUAAAUUCUUGAAAAGGGGUUUUCAUUGUCGUUGAUAUUGGUGAUUUUGUUGUUCUUUUUAGUUGUGGUGGUGUUACAAAGUGAGGCUGUGAUGAUUGAGGUCUGUAGAGUUCAUGGGUAACGGAGCUAUGCUUGUAGCUUGGUGGGGCAACUAGAAGGCUUUAUUUGUAACACAAUCGAGGUUCUGCAGCCAUGUUUAAAAUGUUGUCAUUGUUCUCAUGGAGAUUUAUUGAAUUUAUAUCAAAUGUGUUGAUUAAAAUGAGUAAGAUGUGGACAGUAGAGACUAGUGUGCAAAAGACGGUCCUUUCUUAUGUUCUUAAAAGUUAUGGUUGUAAAGUUGAUGCUUUACUAUCCAAUCAUAUAGGGAGGGGAUUGUUCUUUAAUUGGAGGUGUAAAGCUCAAAUUUUUUCCUCAAUGGUAGUACAUUUUGUUCAUUUUGCAUGCUCGGUAGUUUCCAUACAUAGCUUUCUUAGUUGGAGUACUGUUUAAUAUGAGAAUUUAGUGUUGCUGUGAAAUUUUGAAAGUGAUUCUUUGUUUGAAAUGAGCUUGUCUUUCUUGUGGGGCUUUAUUGAAUAUAUAUUGAAGAUUUUGAUCAUAAAAUGACUGAGAUAUAGAAAGUAACGACUAGUGUAGAAUAGGGAAGAGACUCAUUUCUCGCGUCUUGAAAAUUAUAAUUGUAAAUUUGGUGCUUUACUGUCCAAUUGUACGGGAGGAUGAGCUUUUUUUCUAUUACUAUUUUGUAGAAUUAAUGGUUAGUGGUAUCUAUGGAUUGAAAUCUUAAUCAAUCAAAUCUAUGCGUACUUUGCUUUUUUCAUGACUUAUAAGGUAGUUUUUAAAUUUCUCAAUAUUGAGUUAUCUGGCUCAUCCAAAGAAAUUCAUUAUAACUUCAUCUCCAAUUAUAGAUUUCAAAUGAUGUUAUCCUUACUCCUCAUGUUUUUGAUUUUUAGAGGCAAUUGAACUAGAAUAAUGAACUGGAGGUUUCUCACAUAGUUUAAUGUUCAUAAUUUCUUCUGAUUUGUUGUCCCCUCUCAUUUCCAUACAUUUUAUGUUGAAUAUACUGUUUACCUAAGGUUCAUGUUGGUCAUAUUAUAUUGGGUUAGGGUUUCCUUCAAGAAGGUGAUUUUAUACCAAAGAAAAAGAAAGAAAAGUCAUCCUGGAAUUUGGCAAUGAUUUUGUAUCUAUUAGACUUUGGAAUUUUCUAUGUUCCAUGUGAUUGUGAUUGUUACACAGUGAUCAAGUGCACCUAAACUCCAAACUGGGUUGGCUAUAUGCAUCAUUAUAAGUUGUAUAGAGCAUUUAUUGAGGUUAAGCUAUUUAUACGUCAACUGUCGACCAUGCUAUCCUCUUUCUCUAUUGGGUUCAGGACUGGCUAUUAUUCGCAAAGCUCAAUAGAAAGAGUUGAUUGUACCAUGGUAUUAAAUUAAAUCUUGGGACUAACCUUCUUUCCUUUACAAAAAGGGAUAAAAGGCAUAGAAUUUUUAGUUUAUUUCACAUGCGUAUUGGAUUAUUGUAGGCAAAGAGGCAUAUUAAUGCCUGGUUUGUCGGUAAGUAGAUAGCAGGAACAUUCAACAGUCUUAGUGCUUAUAUACCCACAUAGAUGGAAAGAGAUAUUUAUACCUCGGAUUAGAGAGCCAGAGGUUUUUGCUUCGAGUCUAUUACUUACUUGAGUAUAAGAUGCUAUCUGCACUCUGUACUCACUGAACAUCAAAUUAGCUGUCCAAAAUACUUUUGAAAUACUAGCUCGAUUAUUUUUGUGUUCUGUUCUUUUGUUUGUUGGAUUUAUAGGGAAAUAAGAAGUUGACUGUGCAACUCUUGUGAUUUUCUUAGGCACUAGUAACACUAUAAAAGUUAGCAUGCAUCGAAAGCUCCAUAUAUAAUUAGACUGCAACUCCAGGAUGAAUGAAGAAUUAAGAGAAUGGAACAGAAAUUGCUUGAAGCUUCUCUGAUCAGCUGUUGUCCCUGGAGAUUCGACGGAGCUAUGCCAGAGACCUGUGUGCUUCGUAAAGCUUGCCAGGAUUUUGUUAUUUGAAUAUAGUGUUAUUGGUCAAGGAGAGACAAAAAUAAUUGAUUAAGGUGACUUCCAAACCCCCAUGCCCUCUUUUCUAUACUAUUAUUAGCUACCGUUACUAAUUCUUGAUGAUACAUUUAUUUUGAUGGACGAAAGACAAGAGUUUUAUAUAUGUGACACUCUUUUAUUUUAUCUGUUUCUAAAUAGAAUGGCAUGAUAUGAUAUAUUUGGAAAUCUUUAUUAGUCUAUUCUAAAAAGAAUGACAAGUCGUAGAAAUGCCAUGACAUGUUAAUUUAAAUUUACAAGUUCUAAAAGUUAAAAGUCUUGAUCGAUCUUGACUCUUUCUUGGACUCUUCUGUCCUUAGGAGAUAAUAUGAAUUGUAUAGGAAAUUUAAUUUUAAAGAUUAUAGAUUAUGAUGUGGUGGA
Molecule: long non-coding RNA, 2725 nt
Filed under: Capsicum annuum
Lineage: Eukaryota; Viridiplantae; Streptophyta; Magnoliopsida; Solanales; Solanaceae
Description: long non-coding RNA (CANN_LNC013639)
Source: RNAcentral